GACGAACGCUGGCGGCGUGCUUAACACAUGCAAGUCGAACGGAAAGGCCUGCUUUCCCUUGUGGAUUGCGGGUACUCGAGUGGCGAACGGGUGAGUAACACGUGAGUGAUCUGCCCCCAACUUGGGUAUAAGCCUGGGAAACUGGGUCUAAUUCCCGAUAGGACUGCAGGGUGGUGCCUGUGGUGGAAAACGAUUUUCUAGUGGUUGGGGAUGAGCUCGCGGCCUAUCAGCUUGUUGGUGGGGUAAUGGCCUACCAAGGCGGCGACGGGUAGCCGGACUGAGAGAGUGGACGGCGACAUUGGGACUGAGACACGGCCCAGACGCCUAGGGGAAGCAGCAGUGGGGAAGAAUGCAGAAUGGGCGGAAGCCUGAUGCAGCGACGCAGCGUGGGGGAUGACGGGCUUGGGGUUGUAAACUCCUUUGGACCGAGAGGAAGCCACCUGGUUGGAAGGGUGGUGACGGUAGUGGUAGAAGAAGCACCGGCUAACUACGUG
Molecule: ribosomal RNA, 494 nt
Filed under: uncultured bacterium
Lineage: Bacteria
Description: partial 16S ribosomal RNA
Rfam family: Bacterial small subunit ribosomal RNA
Source: RNAcentral